Molecule: non-coding RNA, 3267 nt
Organism: Chlorocebus sabaeus (green monkey)
Lineage: Eukaryota; Metazoa; Chordata; Mammalia; Primates; Cercopithecidae
Source: RefSeq, a predicted model, not a curated record
UGACCUCGUUGUUCACCUGCCUCAGCCUCUCAAAGUGUUGGUAUUACAGGUGUGAGACACUGCGCUCGGCCUGAUACAUGAUUUCUUUCCCCCAAACUCAGAUAUCAGAUCAAGGUCACUGUUAUCUUCCCAAGAACGUGCAAAGUGCCUGACAUAGAGUAGGUGCCAGUAAAUAAUUAUUGAAUGAAAGAAUACACAUAUCAAAAUGGUAUCUACUUUCUAAAGGUUAAAAAAAAAACCUUAACAAAUUUUUCUUCAUAGUUUGAGAAAAAAAUCUUGUUUCCCGAAGAGCUAAUGAAAGGAAACACACAUUCACAUAUACAAUACUUUUUUUUUUUUCAAACUUUGGGGAAUGGAUCCAUAGUAAAUACUCCUCCCCAUACAUUCGCCUGCUUCACGUUUUUUUAAUUUUCUAAUAUAUUAUCAAAAGUCCUGAGGUGACAUCUAAACUUCUUCUCUCCUCAACUUACAGACAGAGAAAACAAAAGCUCAGCUGGAAGAGACUGAAAUGGAGGCACCUACUUUCAAGCCCAGACUUUAAGAGAGAAUUCCUAUGAGUUGGAUGUCGGACCUGUUAGAACAGGAGUAAGCAAGUUUUUUGGUAACGGGCCGGACGGUAAACGUUUUAGGUUUGGGUGAAAGGAACAAUGGAAGGACCAGAGCCAGUGAGAGCCGGGGGAAUGGCCCAGCAGCAGCUGCAGUCAUAGAAGGAUGUGACCUUCCCAGAGAGGCUGAAGCAGGGAGUCCAUGAGGUUCAGUGGUCUCCAGAAAUGUACCUCUGUGUGUGGAAAUGUUCCAGAAGGUCACUCUGUCUACAGGGCCGUUGCUUCACUGCAGAUUAGAUGUCCUCCCAGAACCUUCCAGGGCACUAAUGGCCUAAACAGCUCUGCUCAUCAGCUCUCGUUAGUGUAUUUUAUGUGUGGCCCAAGACAAUUCUUCUUCUUCCAAUGUGGCCCAGGGAAGUCGAAAGAUUGGACACCCCUGUAAACAGAAGUGUGAACACAGCACAAUCGCAAGUGGAAAAGGAGAAAGUGAAAACAAAGAACUGAUGUCUGGAGAGAAAACCAAGGCAAGUCGAGGAAGGGAAGGGGCAUUUGAGAAACCUAUCUGUGGAAUCACCGAAGAGCUGGUCCACGACGAAAAAGGGGUUCCAAAAUGUAGAGUAAAAGCAACUAGUGGAGGUGCUAGAAAUGGUGAGUGAGUUGUAGAGAGACAUCUCUGAGAGUAACUUCAAUAAGGGUGUUUUGUCAGUGUCAGCUUGCAUUAGAUUCAGGUGUAUGAAACAGAAAAAUUAAAAACAAAAUCAUGACUUAAGCAAGAUAGAUAUUGCUCUUUCUAUCCAGGGCUGACAAUGGUGGUUUCAUAGCAUUAGGGCAUCAUGUUCCAGAUGGCUUCUGGAACACCAGGCACUAAAUCAGCAUUGCAAGCCAUUAAAAAGGUGGGAAGAACAAAGAGCUGUGCACUACUUCUCUUUAAGAAGAUUUCAUGGACGUCCCCACAAUACUUCCUUGUAUGUCUCGUUGACCAAAACUUAGACACAUAAUCAUACCUAGCUGCAAGAGAGGCUAGGAGAUAGAGUCUUUUAGAUGAGUGCCUGUGCAUCCCAAUAAAAUGAGCAUCUGUUACUAAGGAAAAUAAAGAGUAUGGAUGAAUAUGGAUGUUGGGACAGACAACAAACAGCCUCUGUGAAAGGUAGUAAAGGAGAGAGCCAGGGGGAGAAGUUUUCAUCUAGGACAGUGAGUCUCAUAAAUCCUGGAUUCCUUCUCCUGCUCCUCUUGGCCCUCAUUUCUUCUGUCAUCCAAAAGCCUCUUUCUGGGGGGACCCAAUUAGCCCUACUUUCUCUCCAGAAGAACCUCAGUCCUGGAACUGGACUAUGGCUCAGUCAGUGACAUUGGUGUCAGGUUCCUAUUCACUGUUACUCUGCAGAACCCCAAACCCUGGCAAAACCAUCUCCAACAUCAUCUCCUCAUACCUUCUCCCCCUACCGGUUAUGCCCUACACUACCAGGGAUUUUCUCCUUUAGAACUGGGUUUGGAUUCAAAAGGCAAACUCUCUUCAUGCCAAAAAGCCUCUGCACAUUGGCUCCAGUCAUACAUUCUGGAUAGAAAUAAUUUAGUAUCGAAUAAGCAUCCCUGUCUGUUCAUGGGGCUCACUUAUUUUUAAAAAUACAGAAAAUGUUGAGCACCCUCUCAUCAUUUCAAUAAUGAAGAGCUCUAAGAUUCAUCACACUAUUUUCAUUGGUAAGAGGUAGAACAUGGGAGAAAAAUCUAAAGCCCAACAUAAGUAAAGGAAAGACUUAUGGCUUAGUAUAGGUAAGCCUAAGUUAGUUUGUAUUAUCCCACAAAGAUAGUUUUAAUUUUAAACCAAAAAAGCAUCUUUCCUUGAAAACUCAGAAACAUGUUUUAGAUUAGGAAAAACAGAUCCUUGAUAUUCUUCCAUCCCGGCCAUGAGGGAAAAGGAAUAGUCGGUGUUCCUUAGAGCAACAAUGUUGCCGUAAGGCCAGGAGUCAACCAUAUACCCAGGCAAUUACCAGUUCCUUGGGGAGGGAGUCAAAAUUAGCAAUCUGUGAUUAUGUCAUUUGUGUAACCUAAUGUGGACAGGUGGCAUGUGAAGUACUAACUGAUGUGUUUCACAUCCUGGCCUGCUCAGACUGCACUUCAAAGAACUUGUUCACUUGUACCCCUUUUCGAUCCUCUCCCCAAAACUAAACAAACACCCUCUGAGUUAGGAAAGAGGAGGAAUAGGAUUAUUAGAAUGUAAGCAGGAGAAUUAGACCCUGGUGAGAUCUAUGAAAUGGGGCAGAAGGGAGGGAAAACAAUAGAUUCCCAGAUAGGUUUAGCAAUUCAAGGGCAGAGGGACUUUUGAUCAAAACCAGGAAAGUGAAUAUCAUGUCCCCUUUCUCUCAAUACCUUUCAAGGUAUAAUAUAGAAUGCUGAUAGGACAGAUCUAAAAGACAGUCUGAAACCACUCACAUGUGGUGUGUGUGUGUCUGUAUGUGUGGUGUGUGUGUGCAUGUGUUUGUGUCUUCAUGGGGAACAGGGAGGAACAUCUUCGAAGGAUGAGGAAGGGCCAGGCGACCCAAAAGCCCUUAGGAUGAGGAAGACACAGGAUAUAAGGUGAUAUGGUUUGGCUUUGUCAUCUUGAAUUAUAAUCCCACAAUCCCCUUGUGUUGUGACAGGGAGCUGGUGGGAGGUGACUGAAUCAUGGGGUGUUUUCCCCCAUGCUGUUCUUGUGAUAGUGAAUGAGUUCUCAUGAGAUCUGAUGGUU